GGAGUUGUGACUCAGUCAUAAGGCAUCUGCUCUGCAGGUAGAAAGUCCCAGGUUCAAUUCCUGCCAUCUCCA
RNAcentral lists this transfer RNA (72 nucleotides) under Sphaerodactylus townsendi. RNAcentral's name for it is "tRNA-Ala". It matches the Rfam family "tRNA". Rfam says of the family: Transfer RNA (tRNA) molecules are approximately 80 nucleotides in length. Their secondary structure includes four short double-helical elements and three loops (D, anti-codon, and T loops). Lineage: Eukaryota; Metazoa; Chordata; Lepidosauria; Squamata; Sphaerodactylidae. The record is from RNAcentral.